GUAUUUUUAUUUGAGUAUUACAAAUUCUUUAACUUUUAACAACAACUUUCAAACUCUAAAUAUUCAAAUAAUAAUAAAAAAAACUUCAAAUACCAUCCCCGUAGUUUUUCACUUUCUCACUUUGAUACCCUGUAGUUUAUAGUGUAUCGAUUUAGUACCCCGCAGUUUCAUUUUUUCUCUUUUUAUUAUCCAUUCUACUAAUUUUUUUUCGCUAAAUUAGUAACAAAGUUAAAACUAAAAGCUACUAAAAUAAAUAUUCAAUAAACUUAGAUUGGUAUAUAAAGUUUUUUGUAUAUAAUUUAACGAAAUAUUAACGGAGUAGCUGACGAAAACAGAAAAAUAAAAUCAGAGGAUAUUAAAUUGAUAUAGUUUAAACCACAGAGUACUAAAGUAAAAAAAUGCAAAACCACAUGGAUAAUAUUUGAAGUUUGUCCUUAUAAUAAGAAUCCAAGGGAUAAUAUAUUAGUA
RNAcentral lists this long non-coding RNA (468 nucleotides) under Ananas comosus (pineapple). RNAcentral describes it as "long non-coding RNA (ACOM_LNC006537)". Lineage: Eukaryota; Viridiplantae; Streptophyta; Magnoliopsida; Poales; Bromeliaceae. The record is from RNAcentral.